This 406-nucleotide ribosomal RNA is filed under the name uncultured bacterium. RNAcentral describes it as "partial 16S ribosomal RNA". It matches the Rfam family "Bacterial small subunit ribosomal RNA", at positions 30 to 526 of the family's 1533-position model. The record is from RNAcentral.
AUUGAACGCUGGCGGCAGGCCUAACACAUGCAAGUCGAGCGAGAGGCGGACGGGUGAGUAAUGCAUGGGGCUCUGACUGAUGGAGGGGGAUAACUACUGGAAACGGAAGCUAAUACCGCAUAGCAUCAGAUGAACCCAUAUGGGAAUAGCUAGGAGGUGGGGUAACGGCUUACCUAGGCGACGAUCCCUAGCUGGUCUGAGAGGAUGAUCAGCCACACUGGGACUGAGACACGGCCCAGACUCCUACGGUAGGCAGCAGUGGGGAAUAUUGCACAAUGGGCGAAAGCCUGAUGCAGCCAUGCCGCGUGUAUGAAGAAGGCCUUCGGGUUGUAAAGUACUUUCAGUCGGGAGGCGUUACCGACAGAAGAAGCACCGGCUAACUCCGUGCCAGCAGCCGCGGUAAUUC